AGGGAGUUAGUCCAAAACAAGACCUCUGAUUUCGGCUCAGAAAAUUGUGGUGUGAGUCCACAACCCCCUU
This 70-nucleotide transfer RNA is filed under the name Saurogobio gymnocheilus. RNAcentral's name for it is "tRNA-Arg". It matches the Rfam family "tRNA". Rfam says of the family: Transfer RNA (tRNA) molecules are approximately 80 nucleotides in length. Their secondary structure includes four short double-helical elements and three loops (D, anti-codon, and T loops). Further hydrogen bonds mediate the characteristic L-shaped molecular structure. tRNAs have two regions of fundamental functional importance: the anti-codon, which is responsible for specific mRNA codon recognition, and the 3' end, to which the tRNAs corresponding amino acid is attached (by aminoacyl-tRNA synthetases). tRNAs cope with the degeneracy of the genetic code in two manners: having more than one tRNA (with a specific anti-codon) for a particular amino acid; and 'wobble' base-pairing, i.e. permitting non-standard base-pairing at the 3rd anti-codon position. Lineage: Eukaryota; Metazoa; Chordata; Actinopteri; Cypriniformes; Gobionidae. The record is from RNAcentral.